GGUGGCGGUGGCGAGGCG
Molecule: unclassified non-coding RNA, 18 nt
Filed under: Chlamydomonas reinhardtii
Lineage: Eukaryota; Viridiplantae; Chlorophyta; Chlorophyceae; Chlamydomonadales; Chlamydomonadaceae
Description: small RNA Cre_1986
Source: RNAcentral